UAUUAUUAUAAAUAAGAAUAAUAAUUAAGUCUAAUGAUAAUAAUGGAAGGGGCUCUUUGGCAGGAGCCGUUUUGACAUGUGCAAAAAUACUCACUAUGUGGAUUGUACUGGACUUGCAUUGUAAUAGCGCCAGUACGUGCAUCCCUAAGUACUUUGGCAGCACUUGGAUAAUCAGCAGUUCUUAGAUUGAUGCCACAAACAUCUAGUAAUUGAUCGCCAAUCUGCAAACCAACUUUGCUAGCCAGUGAAUUUUCACUGACUGCUGAAACGAAGACACCUUUCUUCUCAAGGCAAAAAAUUCGUAUUCCCAGAGGUUCAACAGAUUUAUCAAUUUUCAAUCUUCGAAUUUCUCCAGAUGUUCGUUCAAUGCUUCCCGUCGAGAGUUUUCCAACACUGCUUUUGGAAACAACACUUGGAUUCGAUGGUAUCCUGAACCUCUGAUUUUCCUUUUUUCUUGGAAAUGUACCACCCUCAUACCAAUAACCUGGUGGUGUAUAGGCAUUGGGUACAUCAUAAGCAGUACCAACUGGAUGUCCUCUCAAUUUUUGAUAAGAGCCUGAACUUCACGAUCCAGCCGCUGUUUAUCGCUGACAAGAUCACCAUAUGUGCCCAGCAGAGCUGAGCUCUCUUGUGAGGUUGCUUCCAGUUGAUUCAUUGCAACAAUAUGCUGACCGCAGUAGUACUCCAAUUCUUUCAUAGUGUGAUCACAUCUGCAACGAUAAACUUGAUUUGAAAAAAUUAUUCAUCAUUACCGUCCUUUUGAAAAUCAUUUUCCAAUAAUACGUACGUGACAAUU
This is a long non-coding RNA of Diachasma alloeum, 796 nucleotides long. RefSeq lists it as uncharacterized. The record is from RefSeq and is a predicted model, not a curated record. The transcript is spliced from 3 exons. Lineage: Eukaryota; Metazoa; Arthropoda; Insecta; Hymenoptera; Braconidae.